GAUGGACGCUAGCGAUAGGCUUAACACAUGCAAGUCGAGGGGCAGCAUGAUCCUAGCUUGCUAAGGUCGAUGGCGACCGGCGCACGGGUGCGUGACGCGUAUGCAACUUGCCUUACAGAGGGGGAUAACCCGUUGAGAGACGGACUAAAACCGCAUACACUUGUAUUAUUGCAUGAUAUUAUCAAGGAGAUAUUUAUAGCUGUAAGAUAGGCAUGCGUCCCAUUAGCUAGUUGGUGAGGUAGACGGCUCACUCAAGGCAACAGAUGGGUAGGGGAACUGAGAGGUUUAUCCCCCACACUGGUACUGACGACACGGACCCAUGAUCUCCUACGGGAGGCAGCAGUGAGGAAUAUUGGUCAAUGGGCGAGAGCCUGAACCAGCCAAGUCGCGUGAAGGAAGACAGUCCUAAGGAUUGUAAACUUCUUUUAUACGGGAAUAACGGGCGAUACGAGUAUUGCAUUGAAUGUACCGUAAGAAUAAGCAUCGGCUAACUCCGUGCCAGCAGCCGCGGUAAUACGGAGGAUGCGAGCGUGAUCCGGAUUUAUUGGGUUUAAAGGGUGCGUAGGUUGUUCGGUAAGUCAGCGGUGAAACCUGAGCGCUCAACGUUCAGCCUGCCGUUGAACUGCCGGGCUUGAGUUCAGUGGCGGCAGGCGGAAUUCGUGGUGUAGCGGUGAAAUGCAUAGAUAUCACGAGGAACUCCGAUUGCGAAGGCAGCUUGCCAUACUGCGACUGACACUGAAGCACGAAGGCGUGGGUAUCAAACAGGAUUAGAUACCCCGGUAGUCCACGCAGUAAACGAUGACUACUAGGAGUUUGCGAUAUACCGUCAAGCUUCCACAGCGGAAGCGUUAAGUAAUCCACCUGGGGAGUACGCCGGCAACGGUGAAACUCAAAGGAAUUGACGGGGGCCCGCACAAGCGAGGAACAUGUGGUUUAAUUCGAUGAUACGCGAGGAACCUUACCCCGGGAUUGAAAAUG
This 978-nucleotide ribosomal RNA is filed under the name Porphyromonas gingivalis. RNAcentral describes it as "bacterial SSU rRNA". It matches the Rfam family "Bacterial small subunit ribosomal RNA", at positions 28 to 989 of the family's 1533-position model. Lineage: Bacteria; Pseudomonadati; Bacteroidota; Bacteroidia; Bacteroidales; Porphyromonadaceae. The record is from RNAcentral.